CCAAAAUAACUAAAUGUAUAAUCUCGAUGAUUGAAGUUAUUGGUGCGCUAAAGAGAGAUAGCUACAAAUUGCAAUAUUACCACUUCGUAAUAUUUUAAAUGUGACCCCUAUGAUAAUUGUCAAUCAAUCUUUUCCAUUAUGACUACGACAUUUUGAAAAAAAUACACCAGUAACUUAAAAAUUCGUUGUACUUGAAAACACAAUCAUAAAGCUACCCCUGCAAUCAUUCCCAAAUGGCGACAUCCGAGUUAUUGCAACCUGUGUAUCUUCAUCAUGGCAGAGUUGUUCUUCUACAAAUGGAACCAAAAAUUAAUAGACACACAAAAAGGGGAAAAAAAUCUAAUAUAUAAAAGCUAUAUACUCCAAAUAAGUACAUACUCCAAAUAAGUGUCGAGAACCUCGUGCGGUGGGUAGAUGGUGUAUUCUUUCGUGAGCAUCCAUUGGCAUCGGCAUCGAUAGGGGGAGGUUUAUAGUGGUAUAACCUCCAACUUCUAGCUUGAAGUCCUCUGUCCAUGAUUUGUUUCACCCGCCCACCAAAGUGAGCCCAACUACCACCCUAUUUUAUGGAUCAAUUAGUUCUAUUUAGGCUAUACCUAGUUAUUGGGGCAAUAAAAUAGAAAAUGCUAUGAUUUAUUUGAAAACAAAUACCUACAAAUAAAAUAUAUAUAAAUGAAAAAUACGACUUACAAAAUUGACAACACAUUGACUUGAAAAUUAACCUAAAUCACGUAUAAUAGUAUUACCUGUCAAAGUGGUUGGAAAAUGUUGAUAGAAAUUUCUAUGGUUGAUCCAGAUUUCAUUUAUCAGCUCAUUUAUGAGCCUCCUUCCUAGUGAAUCUAUCAAAGGGUUUCAGGAGGAACAUAUAACACUAGUAGUUGGUUUUGAAGAAUUUGCAAAACCCAUCGAAAAAGUCGGGAUUCAAAGGGUUUGUUAGGUUUUCAUGGGAAGGGUUAGGAUAAUUUAUAUCUAGGUAAUGAGCAAUUUGAAAAAUAUCAUCCAUAUCAACGUCCAAAAUCAUCGUUGGGAGGGUUAGGAUGCUGAAACAAGUGCUAUUUGAUUUUUCCAGUAAUCCAAUGGGAACUUAUCAUUGAACACAAAUGCUAUUUGAUUUUGCACCUUGAUGUAAAUCCAUCUAGUGCUCCACAAAGUGUCAUCACCAGAGAAACUCCAAUUAACGUGGAAAACUCGAUACUUAAUCAAUUCCUAAUGAAUAAUACCUAGACAUUUAUCUCAUUGCAAGAUAUCACAUCUACCUGAUACUUCAUACUCCUACCAACGAAUGUCAAAGUUCCCAAGAAAGUAGAAUAAUGCCCAAAAAUACUAUCAGACUCAAAUCGUCAGCUGUCGGAGUGAGAUAUGAGGCACUUUAUAGUUAAGUGCAAUAAUUAAGUUAGACGGGGUAUGAACUAAUUUGUUCAAUUCUUCAAAUAAAAUGCUCCCUGCCUAAUCCACAUUGCUUUCAAGCUUUAGGAGAAAUAUUUAAUUGAGUAACAGCUUAAUGCAAUCAAAACUACAUACCAAAUGCCUUCAGCCACCUCGUAUUUAUAAUAUGCUUUUCGGUCAUUGCCACUGUCAUAUAAUUAUUGGUUUGAAUGCGCUUCAGAUAGUGUGCCUUACAGAGGAACUCUAGUUUCUUUUGCUUGGUUUCGACAGUUCUCAGAGAUCCAUGGAGCUCGUACGUCAGAGCAAUAGUAAGCAUAUCUCAUCGCAAUUGCUUAUCAUGUAGCAAACUGCUUACAAGGUCCCAGGGUCGAAAGCUCUUUUGUCUUCGGUAAAGAACGCUUGGGACUUGAUGCUGAUGUCCAGGGUGAACACCCAGGACGAUGACUUUUUGCCUUUUUCUAAUGCAGAGUAAUUAAACCUUUGCAUAAGAUCAGGUUAAUGAGGCCCGUUAUCUACUUGGUGUUGGUUACAGUUAUUACGAGCCAACAAGAAGGGCAUUUCAAAGGUUUUAAUCCAUUAGAAAUAAGCUUUGUCACCACUUUAUUCACUUAAAUUAAACCAAGGUAGAAAAGGAAAAUAUGAAUACAGAAGGGGUUAAUGCAAUAAUAAAUACCAGAAGCACCAGUAAAAUUCAAGUCUCCUACAGCUAGUAUCAUCUGAUGCAGGCCACCAGAUAUUAAUUAGAACAGCUUAGAGCUGGACUCCAACUGCCCCACUGAGUGGCAUGAAUAAUUCAAAGCUAACAGAAAGUUGAUCAGUUAUCAUUAGGCUACUGAAGAAUCCAACAUUACCUGAAAACAUACACACCUUGGUGAAGCAGUACUCAUAAGGCAAAAAAAAAAAAUGAUGUAAGCAUAAGUAGAUAGCCACCAAUUUCUUCACAAGCAAGCCAAGACUGAUUUUCUUCUAUGUUGAGAAUGCAGUCACAAGAUGAAUUAACUACUGGGUAAUUCCCAAUGUCACUCUAUUUGGUCACCAUUUUUUAGGUCCCACCCUUGCCUUCAUGUGCCCAGUGAAGUUAAGGAAUGAGGAGUUAAUGCCUGCCAUCCUUCUAUUUUUGCGAAUUGGGCGGAUUCACCACAAAAAUCUUUCAGACCUUGUUAGAAGAAACAUGUAUUCCUAAACUGACAAAUCCAUUUUUAAGCAGAGUUCUCCACCUUUAUUGACUUUCUUGAAAUCUAACUAGCGAUAAGAGCAGUGGUAUUUCAUAAUCUAGAUAGAGAGAAUCUUUGCUUCAGUUUAAGCCACUUGAUGGUCAUCACUAGGUUGGAGAAGAUUGGUAAGGAAAUGCCAUCACAACAUAAUAUCAUGUAAAGAUUUCACUGUGUCCAUUUGCUGUCCAACAAAUAAAUGCUUUGCAAGCUUCAGUGCGUCUAGUGGAAAAAUUGUCAUGACAACUCCUCAUUAGGAAUUAACUGGGCUGGGGGUUGUGCUCCAAAAGCAAAUACCACAGAGAUGAGGAUCUGAACUUCUAAUAACACUGGAAUAUGUACUCAAAAUGGAACUAUUGAAAUCAACUGCAGAAUGAAAGCCAGCUAAAUAAAAUAAAAAAAAACUAUACGAAACGCUCUAAUUACACUCUAAAUUGUGUCAAGGAAGAUUAUUGGCAAAAAAAUAAAAUGAGUUUUGCUGUCUUUCUCUGCUGUCACCAGCAAUAAGGCAACAAUCUGAGCUGAUUAAUCAUAUAGAUAUCUGCAAUAGGUUCUUCAAAUCUAGCCACAGGAACAUCCUAUAUAACAUUCAAAAUAUAAUGUAUUCAAACCAGAAAUCAACAAAAUAGAACUGUGGCCACGGGGAAUACUGAAUUGAUCCAUAUACAUAACAAGCCAAGAAAAAAUUUCAACUCACAAAUAUCACCAGAAUGAAGCAAUCUCCAUUACUGAGCUUCAGAAGCAUAUUGUUUAAGCCAACUUAACUUGAUUCUAUAUCUUGAAGAAAGGAGAAAUGAAGAGCAAUUGCAGAGUUUGAUCUUGCAGCCUCCCAACACCAUAAUCACAGAUCUGACUGUUCCUAAAACGCACUCAUCGAUCAAUAAUUGACCUUAUCAUGAUAUUCUACGAGCAUAACAAGUCAAUAUAAUAAAUCUUUAAUGUCCAGAUUGAAGGAUAGCAAUAAAAUAAAAUUCAGGGAGGGAAGAAGUCUGAUUUAGUGAGAAAAUAAUAUUCAAAGAGGGAGACAGAGAGAGAUAAAAUUGAUGGCAAAAAUUAGUUGCACAUAAAGACAAUGAACUUCACACCCGCAACAAAAACCCAAAAUAAAUAAUGUGCAAUAGAUAUAAAAAAAUGGUAAAUAUAUAACACGACGGCUCCAAAAUAAAUAAUGUGCAAUACUAAUAAAUAUACUAAACUGCCACAUGAUGAUCCAUCCAAGUUAUCUUGAAUUUACAUCUUGAUCUUUAAAAGGAAGAGAAAAAGUUGAUCAUAGUGUAAAAAAUUACUGGAAAGAGAAGGAUAUAAAUAGAUGGGCAGCAUCAUGACUCGUUUAGAAAGGCAAAGAGAACAAACCCAUUCAGAAAGGCCAAAAAAUCCAUGAGACACAAAAAGUUAGACCUUAUUAGUCUUCAAAUCACGCAUUAUCCUCUAUCUGCACAUGGAUAAAUACCAAAGAACCUAAGGCAUUUUGUAUGAAAAGACCUAGGAAAGUCUACAUUUCAUUUAUGUAGAUUAAAG
RNAcentral lists this long non-coding RNA (4112 nucleotides) under Olea europaea subsp. europaea. The record is from RNAcentral. Lineage: Eukaryota; Viridiplantae; Streptophyta; Magnoliopsida; Lamiales; Oleaceae.